This 962-nucleotide ribosomal RNA is filed under the name Luzonimyia stictogaster. Its description in RNAcentral is "partial 28S ribosomal RNA". It matches the Rfam family "Eukaryotic large subunit ribosomal RNA", at positions 42 to 805 of the family's 3401-position model. Lineage: Eukaryota; Metazoa; Arthropoda; Insecta; Diptera; Drosophilidae. The record is from RNAcentral.
AUUAAUUAGGGGAGGAAAAGAAACUAACAAGGAUUUUCUUAGUAGCGGCGAGCGAAAAGAAAACAGUUCAGCACUAAGUCACUUUGUCUUUAUGGCAAAUGUGAGAUGCAGUGUAUGGAACAUCUUAAAUCUAGUAUGAGAAAUUAACGAUUUAAGUCCUUCUUAAAUGAGGCCAUUUACCCAUAGAGGGUGACAGGCCCGUAUAACGUUAAUGAUUACUAGAAGACGUUUCCAAAGAGUCGUGUUGCUUGAUAGUGCAGCACUAAGUGGGUGGUAAACUCCAUCUAAAACUAAAUAUAACCAUGAGACCGAUAGUAAACAAGUACCGUGAGGGAAAGUUGAAAAGAACUCUGAAUAGAGAGUUAAAUAGUACGUGAAACUGCUUAGAGGUUAAGCCCGAUGAACCUGAAUAUCCAUUAUGGAAAAUUCAUCAUUAGAAAUAUAAUAUUUUAAAAAUAUUAUAAUACUAGUGUGCAUUUUUUCCAUAUAAGGACAUUGUAAUCUAUUAACAUAUAUGUUUUAAUAUUUAUCAUAAAAUCUUAAGCUUAUAGUUUAUUCAAAUUAUUUUGCUUGCAUUAUAACAUAGAAUAAAUGUUUUUGAUUUGAUAAAGUGUUGAUAGAUUUAUAUUAUGAAUACAAUGCGUUAAUUUUUCGAAAUUAUAUAAUAAUAUAUUAAUCAUUGAUUUUUAUAUGUAUUAUAUGCAUUUGUAUGAUUAACAAUGCGAAAGAUUCAGGAUACCUUCGGGACCCGUCUUGAAACACGGACCAAGGAGUCUAACAUAUUUGCAAGUCAUUGGGAUUUAUUUUAUAAACCUAAUGGCGUAAUUAACUUGACUUGUAAAAUGGGAUUAGUUUUUAAAUUAUUUAUAGUUUAUUAACACAAUCCCGGGGCGUUCUAUAUAAUUAUGUAUAAUAAUAUUUAUAUUAUUUAUACCUCUAAUUGGAACGUACCUUGAGCAUAU